RNAcentral lists this ribosomal RNA (404 nucleotides) under Verrucomicrobiota bacterium. RNAcentral's name for it is "Verrucomicrobia bacterium partial 16S ribosomal RNA". It matches the Rfam family "Bacterial small subunit ribosomal RNA", at positions 355 to 776 of the family's 1533-position model. The record is from RNAcentral. Lineage: Bacteria; Pseudomonadati; Verrucomicrobiota.
UGAGGAAUAUUGGUCAAUGGACGCAAGCCUGAUCCAGCCAUGCCGCGUGAGUGAUGAAGGCCCUAGGGUUGUAAAGCUCUUUCACCGGUGAAGAUAAUGACGGUAACCGGAGAAGAAGCCCCGGCUAACUUCGUGCCAGCAGCCGCGGUAAUACGAAGGGGGCUAGCGUUGUUCGGAUUUACUGGGCGUAAAGCGCACGUAGGCGGACUUUUAAGUCAGGGGUGAAAUCCCGGGGCUCAACCCCGGAACUGCCUUUGAUACUGGAAGUCUUGAGUAUGGUAGAGGUGAGUGGAAUUCCGAGUGUAGAGGUGAAAUUCGUAGAUAUUCGGAGGAACACCAGUGGCGAAGGCGGCUCACUGGACCAUUACUGACGCUGAGGUGCGAAAGCGUGGGGAGCAAACAGG